AACGAACGCUGGCGGCAUGCCUAACACAUGCAAGUCGAACGAGACCUUCGGGUCUAGUUGCGCACGGGUGCGUAACGCGUGGGAACCUGCCCUUAGGUUCGGAAUAACUCCCCGAAAGGGGUGCUAAUACCGGAUAAUGUCUUCGGACCAAAGAUUUAUCGCCUUUGGAUGGGCCCGCGUUGGUUUAGCUAGUUGGUAGGGUAAAAGCCUACCAAGGCGACGAUCCAUAGCUGGUCUGAGAGGAUGAUCAGCCACACUGGGACUGAGACACGGCCCAGAAUCCUACGGGAGGGAGGAGUGGGGAAUAUUGGACAAUGGGGGAAAGGCUGAUCCAGCAAUGCCGGGUGAGUGAUGAAGGCGUUAGGGUUGUAAAGCUGUUUUACCCGGGAUGAUAAUGACGGUACCGGGAGAAUAAGCACCGGCUAACUCCGUG
Molecule: ribosomal RNA, 433 nt
Filed under: uncultured bacterium
Lineage: Bacteria
Description: partial 16S ribosomal RNA
Rfam family: Bacterial small subunit ribosomal RNA
Source: RNAcentral